GGGAACCGAAUGGAUACUGCUUAUAUAUCGUCGUAAUUGGUCGACAGUCUCUACCCGAUACCGUAAAUAUCGGACUAUAAGCAAAAAAACGUGCACA
RNAcentral lists this non-coding RNA (97 nucleotides) under Enterococcus asini. RNAcentral describes it as "Guanine sequence". It matches the Rfam family "Purine riboswitch aptamer". From Rfam's summary of the family: Riboswitches are metabolite binding domains within certain messenger RNAs that serve as precision sensors for their corresponding targets. Allosteric rearrangement of mRNA structure is mediated by ligand binding, and this results in modulation of gene expression. The record is from RNAcentral. RNAcentral also lists the same sequence under 1 other name. Lineage: Bacteria; Bacillati; Bacillota; Bacilli; Lactobacillales; Enterococcaceae.